AUUGAACGCUGGCGGCAGGCCUAACACAUGCAAGUCGAGCGGAUGAAGGGAGCUUGCUCCUGGAUUCAGCGGCGGACGGGUGAGUAAUGCCUAGGAAUCUGCCUGGUAGUGGGGGAUAACGUCCGGAAACGGGCGCUAAUACCGCAUACGUCCUGAGGGUGAAAGUGGGGGAUCUUCGGACCUCACGCUAUCAGAUGAGCCUAGGUCGGAUUAGCUAGUUGGUGGGGUAAAGGCCUACCAAGGCGACGAUCCGUAACUGGUCUGAGAGGAUGAUCAGUCACACUGGAACUGAGACACGGUCCAGACUACUACGGGAGGCAGCAGUGGGGAAUAUUGGACAAUGGGCGAAAGCCUGAUCCAGCCAUGCCGCGUGUGUGAAGAAGGUCUUCGGAUUGUAAAGCACUUUAAGUUGGGAGGAAGGGCAGUAAGUUAAUACCUUGCUGUUUUGACGGUACCAACAGAAUAAGCACCGGCUAACUUCGUG
Molecule: ribosomal RNA, 484 nt
Filed under: uncultured bacterium
Lineage: Bacteria
Description: partial 16S ribosomal RNA
Rfam family: Bacterial small subunit ribosomal RNA
Source: RNAcentral